RNAcentral lists this long non-coding RNA (412 nucleotides) under Populus trichocarpa (black cottonwood). RNAcentral's name for it is "long non-coding RNA (PTRI_LNC004120)". Lineage: Eukaryota; Viridiplantae; Streptophyta; Magnoliopsida; Malpighiales; Salicaceae. The record is from RNAcentral.
GUAAAGUUUCGGGUUUCUGCCUAAAUGCACCAUUUUCAGCCUAAAAGACAUUGAAGCCUAAUUACACGCUCUUACCAUCUCAAAAAGGGGUAGCUGUGCAGUACCAUGAAAUGGGGAUAGUAGUCAAGUGCCCAUGAAAAGACUAGAACCCAAUUGUAGAUGAACCUAGGAAAAGCCAGUAAUUUACAGAACAGAGAAAACUUCCUCCAUCAAGAGUCGAAACAGAGGAAAGUAGCUGCUCUGUCCGGAUACUGAGAGACAGUACACGCAGAAAAAUGCUACUAUGUGUUGUAGGGAAUUCCGACCGGUGAUGUUCUGAUAUUUGCCCAUUGGAGGCUAAGCACACUGACACAAUAUUUAACGUGGUUCGGCAAACCGCCUACAUCCACGGGAGAAGCCAUUUGAUUAUAUA